This 253-nucleotide ribosomal RNA is filed under the name uncultured bacterium. RNAcentral describes it as "partial 16S ribosomal RNA". It matches the Rfam family "Bacterial small subunit ribosomal RNA", at positions 524 to 776 of the family's 1533-position model. The record is from RNAcentral.
UACGUAGGGUGCGAGCGUUAAUCGGAAUUACUGGGCGUAAAGCGUGCGUAGGCGGUUCGUUAAGUUCGUUGUGAAAGCCCCGGGCUCAACCUGGGAAUGGCAAUGGAAACUGGCGGGCUUGAGUAUGGCAGAGGGGGGUGGAAUUCCGCGUGUAGCAGUGAAAUGCGUAGAGAUGCGGAGGAACACCGAUGGCGAAGGCAGCUCCCUGGGCCAAUACUGACGCUCAGGCACGAAAGCGUGGGGAGCAAACAGG